This is a long non-coding RNA of Perognathus longimembris pacificus (Pacific pocket mouse), 368 nucleotides long. RefSeq lists it as uncharacterized. The record is from RefSeq and is a predicted model, not a curated record. NCBI's taxonomy places the organism in Eukaryota, Metazoa, Chordata, Mammalia, Rodentia, Heteromyidae. The transcript is spliced from 3 exons.
UCAGAUCUUUUUCUCAGAUUCUUUCAGAGAAUAUCCUAGCAGUGAGUUCAAGGUAAUUAGCAAUUAUAUAUAUAGUACAACUGAAGUCUGUGCUUUUCUUGUCUACUGACAACCUAAAGUUUCACAUUUAAGCUGAAUAAAAAAUAAAUACACAUCUAAAAAAUAUAAAAAAUUUUGUUACAUUUUGACCAUCUACAGAAUUACUUUGACUAUCAGUUUCCUUACUCUUUCCAAAUAAAGCUCUCUGUUCAUCCCAACAUUUAAAAUAUUGAUUCUAUAAGAAAUCAUUUCUGGAAUGAAGAGUGCACAAAAUAAGGAAAUCUUCAUGAGUUAAUCUGUAAUCAACUGUAAGCUUAAGACUGUGACUU